AUCCAGCUCAAUCGUCGGCUUUUCCGGAGGAAUGGUGUCGGUUAUGAUACUAUCCGUCGUUUCGUUUUUAUUACCUGCUUUAUCUACAGCAACGACUUUUAUACUAUUUUCGCCCUCAGAUAAUUCACGUAACCCGCAGAAGAAGCACCGGCUAACUCCGUGCCAGCAGCCGCGGUAAUACGGAGGGUGCAAGCGUUAAUCGGAAUUACUGGGCGUAAAGCGCACGCAGGCGGUCUGUCAAGUCGGAUGUGAAAUCCC
RNAcentral lists this ribosomal RNA (258 nucleotides) under Salmonella enterica subsp. enterica serovar Cerro. Its description in RNAcentral is "partial 16S ribosomal RNA". It matches the Rfam family "Bacterial small subunit ribosomal RNA", at positions 394 to 603 of the family's 1533-position model. The record is from RNAcentral. Lineage: Bacteria; Pseudomonadati; Pseudomonadota; Gammaproteobacteria; Enterobacterales; Enterobacteriaceae.